GACGAACGCUGGCGGCGUGCUUAACACAUGCAAGUCGAGCGGCGCGGCGAACGGGUGAGUAACGCGUGAGUAACUGCCCCCCUCUCUGGGAUAACAGUUGGAAACGGCUGCUAAUACCGGAUAGUGGGGGAUGACUCGCGUCCUAUCAGCUUGUUGGUGGGGUAGUGGCCUACCAAGGCGACGACGGGUAGCCGGCCUGGGAGGGCGACCGGCCACAUUGGGCUGAGACACGGCCCAGACUCCUACGGGAGGCAGCAGUGGGGAAUAUUGCACAAUGGGGGAAACCCUGACCCAGCAACGCCGCGUGAAGGAAGACGGUCUUCGGAUUGUAAAACUCUGUUGUUAGAGAAGCGUUAGUAACUGAACGUCCCCUGACGGUAUCUAACCAGAAAGCCACGGCUAACUACGUGCCAGCAGCCGCGGUAAUAC
Molecule: ribosomal RNA, 429 nt
Filed under: uncultured bacterium
Lineage: Bacteria
Description: partial 16S ribosomal RNA
Rfam family: Bacterial small subunit ribosomal RNA
Source: RNAcentral